This 20549-nucleotide long non-coding RNA is filed under the name Xyrichtys novacula (pearly razorfish). The record is from RNAcentral. Lineage: Eukaryota; Metazoa; Chordata; Actinopteri; Labriformes; Labridae.
CAGAGAUAGAGGCCACUCAAUCACACAAUGUCCUUUAGCUUACAGCAGGAGAAGGUCGUUCCUCCUGCCGCGCCGCACUUGAUUUUCACAACACAUCCCUUACAGCUGGGCAGAGCUAUGAUGAUGAAGCCAGGCGUGACGGGCUUCAAUGACCCUCUCUCACGUGAGUGUUUCCCAUGCCGCCUUUAUCGAGCUGAUGGUUCCUCCUGCUUGCCUACAUGUCCGUCCCUUUGGAUCUUUUGGAAGGCGAUGAAUGCAGUGAUGAGUGAAGGGAAGCAGGAGGCAGCUGCUGGAGAUGGAAGCAGAGUGCUGCACUGGGAAGCUCAAUGAGAAUUAGGUCAUUACCCAGGGCAAAUUCAAUAGAUGAUUAGAAAGAAAUGCAGAAAAAUGGGCUGCCCCCCCCUCCUCCUGAUACCACUGCUGCGACCCCACACAGGACUCACGCCUCUAAUGAAUAUUCUUGAGGGUCCCUGCUGAGUGUUCAUGAGAGAGACUUUGUAGCUGUCCUACAAGUCAGAGCUCAAAGGAAAUGAUAUAUCUGCGCAGUAUUAAGUUAUUUAAUGAAGUUCUUCAUGUUAUCUUCAAAAAAUAAAAUAAGUUAGGAGAAAAAAUUUACACAUUAAAAUGAAAAGUGUCUUUAAAAAAAAUUACCACAACUCACCUCACACAUAGACUGACAGCUUCUGCAAAGUUUUGCACAUUUAGGUACAAUAAUGUCUUUUAAAUUUAAACUUUAGCCUCUUUUCAGUUUGAAACAUGUUGCUUCCCAUAGCAACAGUCUCUUUCUUUCAGUCUUGCUUGACUGUGCUGGCUUCCUCGGCCAACUGAGAAAGAUCUGAGUAUUAACCUUUUUCUUUAUCCCACAAAAUACACAGGGAGUAGUUUAAUGAAGUAUAAGAACUAGGUUUAGCUAGUUUGCUGGUGGUGCCAAAAAUUGACUGAUGGAGUUGUUUACAUCAGUCCACAAACCCAAUAUUGUCAGAAAGUGUAAGUGAACAUACACUGUUUAUACAUACAUGGUUUUACUCAAAAUAAACUAAAACUUACCCUUCAUUAAAUGUUUGCCUCAAGAUUUGAUAAUGGCCGUUGUUUAGCUCCCUCAUCAGAAGCGCAUUAUCAUUCAUCCACAACUUCCUUCUCUCAGGGUUUUCGCUCUUUGAAGCACAACCUAGGCUUCCCCCUCAUCAGUUGUUGCAUCCAUAGAUAUGAAGAGUAGACACAACAUGCCCAUUUAAGCUGUGUGCCAACGUAGCAGCCAUCUUGGCGGGGGCAUCGUUCCAAUUAAAGGAAACACGUACAAUGAAAGUAAAGCAUUACUUGAUCAUUUCCUCAAAGUAAUAAUCACCAUAUUAAUCAUUUUGCACUGCAGAUGCGGUAGUUCUUCUGCCCUAGCGUCUCUGUCUGAUUGCAUUUCCAUGAAGAAAUGAUCAUAAAUGUUCUUCCUUGAGCUGCGUCACCCCGCUGCAGUCGGUGACGGACUUGUCCGAGGGCUCGCUACAAACAAGCAGCUGCUGGAAGAGAGUGGGUGAGUUGUGUUCAGUCUCUUUGCAAAAGAAAUCAGGCAAAGCUAAAAAGAUGUUUGGUGGCUAGUGCUGUGGUUGGGACCCUAUAUGAACUGUUGAUGAAGUUAGGUGCUGUUCUGAGCAUUAUUUGUGGCUGUAGAGUGACUUUUUGGUUGAGGUUUGUGCGUGGUCCUCAGACCGCUGUGUAUUGCUAUUGUGUGGUUGUUACAAAAGUUGGUGUAACUAGAGAAGCAAGCGGUCGGCAACAUUCCUCUCUUGAGGGGGUGUCUUACUCAGUGUUACUGUGUGUUUGACCCUAAAUUAAUUUUACGCUGGAAGAUCCCUUGAAAUGGGAACGUUGCCCCUGCCAAGAUGGCUGCCACGUAGGCAUGACGCUUAGCGGGCUGCUACUGUGUGCUGUUGUAUCUAGUCUUCUAUAUGUGGUUGCAUCCACUUGAACCACAACUGUCAGGCUGUUGGCAGCCUUUCUUGCUUGCCAGGUGGGCGGUUCUAUAAGUGCGUGACAUCAAGUAAAAUUAAUAAGCUCACAUUUUGUGCCAGAUUUUAUAAGCAUAACUGAUGACACUGCAGUAUAUGGUGGGGACAGCUGUACUCUGCUUGUUUUGCAAGUCCCCUGGUGUGGUUGUCAUUAGAGGGUUUAAGCUAUGACAAGCAGCACCCUAUCUCCCUCACUUGAAAAACUGCUUUACUGUAAUGAAAUCCCAAAGAGAUUUAAAUGAAAGUAUGACAUUCACUGAAGGCUAAACGGCAGUAAAUGUGAAACCAUACUUUGACCUUUACUAAUAGGCCACACCCUCCUGCAAAGUCACCAGUUGCUAUUGACAAAAAUGAUAUAAUACACUAUAUUCAAAUGUGAUUUAAACAAACAACAACUGUGACACAGUCUUUAAAAAGACAUUAAUAUCAAACUAGAGAAAAAAACGAGUUACUUUCCUGUUCAAUCAUUGGUUCAUAAUCUCGUAUUAUACAUUUAACCUUUGCUUUCAUGUUAUUACCAGCAUCACGACCACUGGGGAAUGCAAUGCAUACUAAUUAGAAACUUUGUCUUGUGUACAUUGUAAAAAACUCUCUCAGAGACACAGGACAAGUCAGUAAUCGGGUUACGCUAAUCCGUCCCUUCACCAGUGUAUCAGAAUGCUAAAUGAAAGCUUAGUUGAAUGACAAAGCUUUGAAAUUCACAAAUCUCUGGGAUUAAAUGACUUUCAAGAAUUAGACAGUUUGAGUGCAGGGAUGCAGGAUCUGCAAAUAUGGAUAUCCUUUUACUCUUAUAAAGAAUAUAAAAAGGCUGACAACAGUGGAAAAUGGAUUGAAAAACGCAGCGAGAAGCAAAGACAAAAAGACAUUGUGUCUUUUGCUGACUUUGUCACUUUAUAAAUGCACUAUGAGACGGGCAAUCUAUGAUAAUGGUAUUUCAGCAGCACUUGAUUGUCUGAAAUACUGUUAAAGGCAGAUAGGAUCUGUGGAGGAACAUUUACAUUGAAGUUUGCCAUUUUCUCCCGAGGGAUCGCCUAUGUGCCCAUAUGUGCCUAUGAUGCAAAUUUGUGGAACAGACAGUCUGUGUAGUCCGUGUUAAACUCACAUAUUACAUUUUCUUCCACAGAGUUCCUUCUCCUCUAGUGAGACAGUCUGAUUACAGGCUUGUAAAUCAAAUCCAGGAGAAGUAAAGAUAGAGUCUGCACGAAGGGUUUGUUUUCAUAUUAAACCAAGAAGACAGGGAGGGUGAGGGUGCCGUCACAUUUGGUAAACAACAAGGAAGUGAACCCAACUGCAGACAAAAUAAAGGUCUAUUGGACAAAAAAAUCAAAAAAGGCAAAACAAAGAAAAACUAAAUCAUGUCAUAGCUAAACCAAACUUACAAAAAAUGCUUAAAGGCACCUGAACAUGGAAUCUACUUUGUUAUAAAGUUCAGUUAAAGGACUCCUAGAUCCCCAGGUUUAUUGCCCCAUGUCCCCCCUUUUUGGCUUCAGUCAACUUAUAUCCCAUUUUGGAGUUUAGCUCUAACCCAUCGACAACAAUAUAAUGCACUCAGCAAGUGAACAGAAAUUGCAGUGAAGUUCACUUUGGAUGGCAGUUCGUGGUGAUGGAUGAGUCCAACAUUGCAGGUCUUUAAGCUGGACGCUGUGGUUUGAGUCCUAUCUAAACCAAAAAACACCAAACACCACAAAGACAAGACGUUUGGAUAAGUCACACCUCACCCUCUGCUUCACCUCUACUAACAAUGGCUGCCCAUUGGUAUAAAAAUCUGGACUUGCUGUAAUCUUCAGUUGUAAAUAAGCUGAUUGUCAGUUUUUCAGUUUAGUGUUGCACAUUGUUCUUGCCAUGAUACAGGUGUUUGAUAUCAGAGGAUGUGUCUGAUAAUGUUUUGGACUAUGUGGCCAUUAGACAUUAUGUGUCAUUGUGUAAUACUAUUAUGAGUGUAAUAUAGAAUACUAUUGUAUAAUACGGUAACACGUAAAGGGCCCGAUUUUCAUUUAUGAAAGAGGAGCCCUGCAGAAAAAGUCUACGAUCAACUGCCUGAUCACAAUCACACAUUUUUUGUGUCUUGGAAUUACAAAAUAGACCUAUGAAUGUUGAUCAGAUGAAAGAAAGAAAAUAAGACACUAACCCCAACUGACACUGGUCUUUCUACAUGCACUUUCUUUGCCAACAGGCCUUCUCCCGAACCGGAAGGCUUUUUUUUUUUAGUAGGAUCAACUUCUCAACCUCUUGGUCACUUCUUCGGGUUCUUCGUCAUGUUGCUACUAGCAGCGCUUCCCUCCCUUGUCGCUGUCAGGUAAAACCGAGUAGAACACAUUAUUUCUUGUGAGCCAGCGCAGGAAUGUCGCCCCUCCACACCAAAUACAAAAAUACCGAAAACUGAAAAAAAAUGCAAGUUGUUUGAGGAGCCGAACAGCUUAAUCAGCGUUGCAUCAUCUCCUAUUGUAGUGGCUUGGGUGAAACGGAUAUUUACAGAUAUGUAGAUCUUACACACUAUCGCUUUAACUUCACCAACAAACUGCCAUAGUGAGUGUAGUCAGGCCUUGAAUCAGUGGAUCAGAGGUUCAUAGAAGAGGUAGAUUCUGUAUUUAACGCAGGAAAUCCUGGGUCUCAUGGCUCCAGCUGUCCAAUAGUGCUCUGAAAAUGCAGCUAGUGGGUGUUAAUGAAGAAGGGAGCUCCAGACCAAACCAGAGUGGACACGGUUCAGAAAGUCAGGAAAGCUCUAAAGAGACACAGAGACUGUAGGAACAGUUAAAAGAGUUAGCAUUAAUUUUCUAGGGAGAACUGUGACAGUGUUACACACAAAACAUAUUAAAUCUUGGAUUUGGAUACCUUUACAUUUUUUUCUUUGGCCUUUGCAUGUUCUCCUGCCAUGUGUCAUUCAAAGCUGACCUUUAUUUUUCUUGUAAUCCCACACUGACUGACAAACAAAUGAACAUGGAGAAGUAGAAACUAGAGCCUCGCUUUGUGCUCUUCAUAAAAACCCUUUUUGUUCAGCAGAUUGUCCUCUCUUUCCCCUGGUUUUACCUUGUUUAUUUUGGUUGUCUUCAGGUGGUCUGUAUUUUUUCUUCUUGGCUAAACUCACAUAUGGUAACCCCCAUGCCGUCAAGUCUUGAGUUAGACUGUGAGAGAAUGUAAUCAAUCCACAACUAGAAUAUCACUUAUAGGUGCACUUUCUUAUGAUUGAAAUCUUGCCUACCCCUGUCUGACGUACAGGAAAGCCCAACCAUCUGGCAGUGAUGGUUUAAACAAAGAUUUAAACAUGACCCGGAUGAUUUGCAGCUACUAUUUGACCCAGUUCCUCCAGGUUUUCCUUUAGCUCCUUGUUCCCCUGCCAGAUGUUAACCAAAGCUAACUCAUGACAUUCAUCACACAGCGGAGGAGGUCUCUGGGGUGCAAGUAACUCCUCUUCCUCCUCUCCCAAUGUGAACUGUCUUAGGUCACAAAUUAGUUACAGUCGUGUAAUGGUGGUACAGAGAGGUUGAAAGCAGGUGAGACAUGAGGCUUUAUACGACUAGUCUCCAGGGAUAGAGGCUGAGGAUUACCAUUUUUGAAAGGAAACGUUUAUACUUCUUCAAAGUUGUCUCCAGGAAACAAGCAGUUUCUAACCCAUGGGAAGAAACAUGACAGAGAAAAGCACUUAUGUGUUUCUGAUUGUUUUUCUAAAGCUUUUAUUGUCUUUGGUUUAAAUAUUCUUUAACUGGAUAAAUUCCUUUUUUUUUGGGUAGCAACUGGAGGAAACAUCUGGUUUCGGUUUCUUGAGCGGCACUUAACAAAAUGAUACGUUUCAUUCAUUACCACUUUACUGCUCGAAAAUUUACAUAAAGUUCACUUAAGUUCCUCUCUGUUCCUGUCAGCCCUCCAGCCUCUGUCUGACUGUGGCUUCCUCAUAUCUGGCUUUAAUCAGUCUCUUUUGUCCAAACUGAGAGUUAUGUUCAGCGGGGUAACCCGAGGAUGACGGCCUCCCAGGGGCCUCAGUACUCCUCCAUCCUUGGGCUUUCCGCUCUGGCUUGAUGGCUGAAGUCUUCUUUUUGCACUCUCUGGCAGGUGGGCGCAGUAAAUGAGAAAACCAUCUGACACAGAGACAGAAAUGAGCUGACACGGCUUCAAACAGAGGGGAGGACAGUCUGAGGGCUUUUCCUGUAUGAAACAUUUAAAGCGAUUACCACCCGUGUGACAUCAAUGAUCAAGCUAAGAGUAAAGCUUACGUUUACUUCACAGCACAAAAUUUAAAUAGAAAAUGACAAUUGUUAAAAGGAGAAGUAUCAAAUCAGAUGACUCUGAUAAGGGCCAUCACAAUAUACCACUACCUUCUUUAAAAAAAUGAUUUUGUGCUACAAGUAAGCAUAUAACAACACCAUGUAAAUAAGUGGUUCAAUGAGGCAAGGCAGUUCUCUACACUGGUUGCCACCGGCCACUGGUCAUUUCAGACCAGGCUCAUUCAGGAACUGUUUGGUCCUUGUUUAGGAAAAGUGUCUGUGCAACAUUUGAAUAACUCUGUUUCAAAAAAUAAAGAAAAGGGGAAAGAAAAAAAAGAUAAACAAUUAAGAUGUUUUGUACGACGGAGUGUUAGGGCCACAUUGAGAAAAAAAAAGAAGACUUGGAGAUUAAAGUCAUUAACUUAUGAGAAUAAAGUCAUUACUAACGAGAAUAAAGUCGUAAAAAUGUAAUAACGAGAAUAAAGUCAUACUAAAAUCAUGACUUACGAGAAUAAAGUUGUAGUUAAAUCAUUACUUACGAGAAUAAAGUCAUAGUUGAGUAAUCACUUACGAGGGUAAAGUCAGAAUAAAGUCCUUGUACUCUAACCUGUCUUUAAGAGGACAAUAGUUGAAACGAGAGCCAUGAAGCACUUUGUAGAAAUGUACCUUAAUAUAGGUUUCUCAAAUAAGGAGAUACUUAAUCUUUUGGCACAUCAGCACCACAUUAUUAUAAGUAUCAUAAUGAUUUUAUUAUUAAUGAUUUUGUAGUUUUGUGUAUGUGGGUGUUGGAAACUGUAGAGUGGGGAAAUUUUGAUUUGAACUUAUUUUUAGCAGAAAAGUGCAUAUUGUUGAAAAGUUUUCUUUUUCUUCUGCAAACUAAAAUCCUAACAGGAUAAAAUAACACAUCGGAGGCUUACCUCACCCUGUUGGGAUUCCAUAUAAAAAUACCAAAACUUGAGCUGCCAUCAUACUUAAUGUAAGGAAACUUUCACAUCAUGUAUGCACUGUUAUUGUAGGAGCCAGAAGUGCCUGUGGAAUUGCAAGUUAGAGCAACUUCAGUGAGGCAUGUUUGAUGUUACCAUAAAUUAGUUGCCAGAGCAUUUAUACUGUAUGUUUCAAUUUAUGGUAGAUGGAUGUCCCAUUCAGGGCCUCCAUUCAUCUUAGGAUCUGACAGCAACAUGUCAUCUGGCCACUCUCCCCUUCAAUCUCCCAAUCAGAAGACAAUUUAAGACACCGGACCCCUCACCGGGCCCUGUUCUCCUUGCUGGUGAGUUAUCUCUCUGUGGCUGUUUCAGAGUACGUUUACACGUGCCUGGCUAUUUUCAUAAAUGGACAUUUCACCCUCGCUGUUUUAAAAAAAAAAACUGUGUGCACACAGCUACGUUUUCAGAAAAGGUUUCGUUUUCACUAACCUGUGUAUAUAUGUCAUCUAGAACAUACGAAGCAUGUGGGUGGCAGUGUAGCAAGAUGCUGAAGCCCACGUUAGCCAAUCAGAAUCUCGCAUAGCAUCAACAACAACAGCGUCCCUUCCAGUGUCCCCAGCGUUCCCGAAAUCUCUACUCUAGCCAGAGUUUUUAAAAAGCAUCGUUUUCAGAGGUGAAUUCUCUGUUCGGUCUACAUGAAGGGUACAUACGAUGGCUAAUGUGUCAGUUUUUAAAAAUAACUGGGUAUGUAUAAGCAGGGCCUUAAAGUGCUCCUAGACAUCACACUAAAUAAGGCUUACAUACAAAUUCCAGGACCACUCUAACCUACCUUAUGCCAUACAUACAGUCAGUAAAGCAGGGUAACAGUGGCCAGACACACUGGUCAACACCAGAGUUCAUCAUGCCAUGGGACACAACACUAGUGGCCACCACUUGGUUCUUCUUGCACAGCUGUAGUUACCAACUAGCUGUUGCAAGUUCAUGUUGAUGUCACAACAAGUUCAUAUGAAGCUAGCUAGAUCACUUAGAAGAAAUAUGCAUAGAUAAAGAUUGCCGACUGGAGCAACACAAAAAUUAUAACACCACAAUCGCAUGGGUGAAAACCAACAAAUGUUAGAGUUCAAGGGUUUAAAAUGUUAGCAGAAGAAAUUUAGUGCACUGUGCAAUCCCUCGGCAUUGAACAAAGUGUGGGAGAGCUGGAAAUCAUACUCUCAAUUGGUUUAACUUAAGUACUCCUCAUAAGUUCAUGACGUGCAACUGUAUUUUUAGACAAGUGCUCACAGUCAUUCUAUCUUUGCAGGGGAAAGUUUCACGGUCUUGGUUAGAAAAAGCAUAGACUAUUUUAAAAUAUGAGCAGUCGUUGGAUUUGUCUACUGUCUGUGAGUCAGACUCUGCAGUCAUCAUUCAUGAAUCACACUUUCUAAGCUCCUGAGUUGAGUGUAUCAGGCCACUGUGGCCGAGCAGAUGGGAAGCUUAGGCAUCAGGUUACCUGGUGAAAGAGUUAGUGGAGGCAAGAGAGACCACAUGGAAGUUUGACCUUACUCACUCUAUAUCUCCACAACAAUAGCAGUUUAUUGUGUUGCUAUGGACUCUGCAGAAGGUUGUCUUGGUAUCAUAAAGGCUGAGAUUUUGAGUCUAUAUGAUUUUAUUGAAUUAUUUGACUAAUAUAGUACCAUACAUCAGGUUUACCAAACCUGGGGCAUGUAACAUUUUUCUUUUGUACUCUUGGGAUUCACAUCUAAUAAAUUUCCCUUUGGGGAUCAGUAAAGUUUUUGUCUUGUAUUGUAUUGUAUAGACACCAUCAUGUUAGAAGUCAUUUUUAACUUCUCUGUGACUUAAGAAUCAUUUGUAUUAAGACAGCUACUCUUGGAGCAGAUCUUUCCACUUUCCUAAAAAUAAUAACUGUAAUAUUAGGUGAAUGUGAUCCGAUGCUGCUGUUGUUCUUAUAAUUGGUGACCACUGGAAUAUGCCAAAACCUCUCAGUUUCUGGACACAUUCAUGACCAAAAUCCAUAUCAGAUGCCUCUAGUAGGCGACGAUGUAACUUGCCCAACAGAGCUGGAAUGCAACCGUGACCAAAUGCGCCAAACAUGCAUCUUGUGCGUUUUUGUCUAUAAUGUCAGCAGUGACACCUUGUUAGCAUAAGCAUUUGGACUAACUGUAUCUACUCUAUCUUCUCUUGUCAUGUGUACCAUGAUUAUGUGGUUUCUUCUACAUUUCCUCCAGAAAUUCUAUGAGAUUAGGGGAAUUUUCAUGACAAAAUAACUUUUUUUAAAAGUCAAAUAAAAAAGUUCCCUUAAAACUUUGUUGUUGUGUUCAUAAUAAAAUUGCAUUUUUUUAUCUUCUGUGUGAAGUCUCAGGGUCAGUUUCAAUUGUCAAAGAAAAAAAUAAUUUUAGUAAGUCAUAUUUAAAAGGCUAAUAUAAGUAUGCUUUAAGAGCCUAAAGUUGCCAAUCCAACCAUGUAUUCUCAUGUAAGUUUAUUGAUUAUUCAACAAUUAUUUAUUAUUCCCUUUACUGAAUCUAAAACAACCCCCAUUCAGAACUGGUACUGCGCUGCUCAUUUUGAGCAGAAGGGUAAGUGAGUUACACAAGCAUAGAAAAAUGUUGGGUUGGCAACUUUAAGCUCUUAAAGCAUAUUUAUAUUAGCCUUUCAAAUAUGACUUAUUAAAAUUAUUUUUCCUUUUGUGUUAAGUCUGGGGGUCAGUUUCAAUUGUCAAAGGCAAAAAUAAUUCUAAUAAGUCAUAUUUGAAAGGCUAAUAUAAAUAUGUUUUAAGAGCUUGAAGUAGCCAACCCAACAUUUUUCCAUGCUUGUGUAACUCACUUAGCCUUCUGCACAAAAUGAGCAGUGCAGUACCAGUUCUGAAUGGGGGUUGCUUUAGAGUCAGUCAAGGGAAUAAUAAAUAAUUGUUGAAUAAUCGUUAAACUUACAUGAGAAUACACAGUUGAGGUAAAAUUAUCAAAACAAUUCUUAGAUUAUCUAAUAAUGAACGUUCACGGUUUCUUUGCUACUUUUUGCCCGCUGGCUAGUUAUUUCUUCAGCAAAGAAAGAAAGAAAAAGGUUUGUGUGUGUUUGCGUGUGUGUUUAAGAAAACUGUGUAUCCUCUUCUAAAGCUUCAGCUAGCAGUGCUUUGAUGUUGAGACUACAAACCCUGAGGGACUACAGCUAAAGACAAGACAUUUUCCUGCGUCCCACUAACCUAAAUUUGGAAUGAGGAAAAAAAACAACUAUAUUUAGACUUUAUUGAAAUUCACUGGGAAUGGUAAUGCAUGGAUCAACACCCCACAGCACAACAAUCCCUGUCAGGUAUUUUUUCCUGUUGAGUUCAAAGAGUGUUACACAGAGCCGGUUAUUUUCUGUGCAUCUUCACAUAGCUUUAGAGCAACUAUGAAAAGAAAAAUGUUUGUGUGUUACAUAUUGUGUGUUUUACAAACCCAUAAUGGAUGUAUGUCUUGGUGAUAAAUCUACGCAGUAUAACUAUUUCUAUAGGCUUCUUUUAUAUAGAAUUACAGAGCAUGUAAUAACUGAGAUCUGUCUUAUAUGAACAGUUGUUUUGGAAGCCAAAUGUUAAGGAAGAUGUAAAACCUUACAGAUUUGGGCACAGAUAGACGAUGCAAAGCCUCUUGUUUUCUUUAGUUAUUAUUUCUCUGUAGCCUCUUGUAUUCUUAUAGAUGCUCAUUAUUAUAACAGUAUUGUAGUUAUGGUCUUUAAACAGACUGCAACAGACCACAAAUGAAUCGUGAUCUUAGGGAAAUAAGAGUUCAUUACCUGUAGAUAAAAACAAAAUUUUGAGUCAGUUUCUCUCAUAAACACAAUGAUUUCAAUUCAGACCUCCCAAUAUCUUACAAUUCUUAGCUAGUUUGAUAAUCUUCACCUCAGAAUUGUUCCAAUAAUGAUAUCAGUGUUACCUUUGAUAAUGCAAGAAUGGGUAGUGGCAAGUACACCAAUCCAUUCAUCAGAGAGCACUAAUUUCUGCCCUGAAUAAUGUCAUUUUGUCAGAAAUCAUUUCUACUUUCCUCUACAAUGCACCCAAAUCAGAAACCUACACUGCCUCCAAACUAUGCUUGACUUCUGGUAGGUUUAUUUUGGCUCUCUGUGAGUAAUAUGACAAGAUUCUUUCAGUAAACUAUCCUUUAAUAACAUUUGUUAUAAAUUUGCCCCAUGGAAAUAAUGAUAAAGAUAUUAUGCUGUUUUCAAACCAUGGAAAUACUUACAGGUGUAACUUACAUUUCAGAGCAUCUACAUUAAAAGUUGGUGAUUUUGCUUUGUGCCUUUAGUCUGUCGGACACAUUAGAGAUUGAGGCAGCUGUAAAGGUGAUGCCUAACUUUAGGUACGAGUAUCUGUUAAAGGAACAACAGAAUGCAGGACAUCAUCUACUGCAACAUAUACUUCAUUUGCAGGAUACUGAUUGUGGUGUUAAGGAUUUUUGUGCCUUGGUUAAUCCUGUUGUUAUUGGCAACAAACGGCCAAUUUGGCAAUGUAGCCCUUUAAGAUGUGAUUUCAGACGUCAUUCAGAGCGUAGAUAUGAAGUAGUAUAGACCCACUUUUGCUUUGUAAGGGCAAAAUGCAACUGACUGACUAAAUACUUAUGUUUUGAGUCCAGUCUGUUAUUUUGUGUUGUGACCACAUCUUUGAAAGUUGGAAUUAAAAGUAAAGUCAAGUAAAACAGCAUUACUUUUCAAAGAUCAAAAUGGAGUGCUUUACUGGCAUGAAAUGUCAGCUAUCAGCAGUCAAGAUCCAGACAUAUGGGCUCAGCAGCAAUAAGGAUGGUCUCCAAAGUGUCGUAUAACCUGAGCCGUACUGGCUGUGUACAGCUUGUAUGUAGUUUUAUUUAGUUUCUUAGAAGUUUUUAUGUGAGCCUCUGCUGUUCUUACACAUGGUGCUGAUAUACAAAGUUUUUGUUUUCACAGAUCAGAGAAUAAGGUCGGAUGCGAAUAACAUAUUGAAGUCACAUGUAUGUAGUUAAAUGAAAGUAAAAGUGCAAACUGACAUUAAGUUUUGUAUGGCAAGCCCCUUACUGAUUCAAGUAUGAUGAAAAAACAAACUAACAAGUAAAUAAAUAAAUAAACUGUUGGGUAAGUUUAUAGUCAGCUUGAAGUACCAAAAGUGUCCUUUUCCAGCACAAGGCUUUAUAGUGUUUAUCAUUAGCAAAGAUGGCCAUUUUCUGUGAAGUCAGGACCUAAUGCAUACCAUCAUCAAUGCCAAAUGAAAAUAUGAUAUUUAAAUGAGCAUUAUACAGAGAUUUUCAGUUUUUGUUGUCAUGGUACGAUUCAUUUAGCCAACUUUUGCUACGUUCACACUGCAGGUUAUGAUGCACAAUUCAGAUUUUUUGGUUAAAUCUUUUUGUGCGGUCGUUCACAUUACAAAAACGAAUGCGGCAUCUAAUGUGAACGGAAUGCGUCCGUGCGCAUGUUUGUGUUGUCGAACAAUGGUGGUUGAUCAGAAAUCCAUGUCUAUUGAUUGUGGCAGAGAUUUUGCACACCAGGAAAAUCUGUGGCCACAGAGAAGUUUUUUAAUUAUGAUAUUCAGGAGCAUAUCAACAGGGAUGGCAAAGGGUGGCACUGGCCCCAAAAUCCAAAUAACCAAUGCUAUCAAUGGCUAUUUGCCUUGUUAGGGACAAGGAACAGCUGAACAGCUGUGUGAUAUGCACAUAAUAAAGUAGGCAAUGAAGACCUAGAGGGCAAAUGCAGUUAAUUUAUAUGUGAGGCACUGCCUAUGUCAGUGCCCGAGUUAUACCUCUCUCAUCAAAAAGUCUGAACAUACUCCUGGUCAAAUUAGUAAAAACAGAAAGAAAUAUAAAUUUAAGGAUAUAAUUAAUGAUUGUCAUUUCACAAAUUGUGAGUAAUGAGAAGAAUCUGAGUCACAGUUUGACCUCAAAAGUAGCACUAGUAGUCGUCUCCGUUGAGGAUUUUAAACAACCUCAUGAGCCGAACGGCAUACCUCUUGCAUCACAAAUGUUCUCUCUCCUAUUCAGGCGAUCCCCAUCAGGGAAAUGCAUGGUGGGUAAUUUAUUUUAACAAAUGACCAUCUGCUUGGCCGGUUUGUGUCAGGACACCAAUGACCCACAGUACUUGGGUUGAACAGCAAAGGCUGCUGGGUCUUCCACAUUUGACAUAAGGUAGAUAAAAUCUCAGGGUAGAUUUUUUUACACUCCGACUUUAAAUUCUAUAAUAUUGCUACAGAGAAUAAUACACAUGUGGUUGUAUCAAUUUAGUUUUGUGACAUAAAUCUUUCAAACUGAAGUCUCAGAGGCUUUUAUUCAUGUGAACUAAUGGUGCUUGGCUCAGUUUCAGUCAAAGGCACACAGCACAAGGGCACAGUGUCUGACUUUUAAGCCGACUGCCAGAGGCGUGUUUUGUGUGAGUGGUGCAGAUGGAAAUGGGCGGAAUACAUUUUCAGGCGGUGGUGUCAGCCUGGCAUCAACCUUGAUUGAUCAAAUCACCUGUUUCUUUUCAAUUAAAAGCAGUGCAUUUAAAAUCACACAGUGAUCUAGGACAAAAGCAGACCGAGAGGCACUCUAGAUACUUCUGAACGUACAAUGUGUGUCAACUACGAUACAGAGCUUAUCUAUGCAGGAUUAAUCCGUGUAUGAUUAGGAAUUUUAAACUACUUUCAAACAUUAUCUGUGCGUUAUUUGAACAUCAUCAUCGAGAGCAUGAUGAAGUUUUUUCUCUUAAUAUUAGAUGUCUUGAGGCCCAUGACAAAUUUAAGCAGCUGUGCUUUGACCGCAACAACACUGCUAUGCUAAUAUGAUGUCAUUUAUUAUUCUGACAUAUUUUAAGAUAAUACACAAAGAGUGUGUCUUUGUUUGGUAUUUGGUUGCGCUCAUGUUUCCUUGAUAGUUUAAUGUAAUGUGUCCAUUUAACAUGAUCCCAGCUAUCCCAGCUUUGUCUUAUUUACCUCUUCAUAUCCUUAUAAAAUAAAACCUUUUAACCCUCUUUAAUCAGCUUCAAACCUCUGUGUUUGUCUGUCUGGGCUUUUUUAUGUGGGGUCAGACUUCAGUCUUUAAAGUAGUAUCUGGUGUCAAACAAGCUUGCAUAAUUAUUAAACCAGUCAACCCAAACCCAGACUGCUAUCAUGGCUUAAAACACACAUUUUUCUUGUAUUACUGAAAUUAAAAAUACAGUUCUCGUGCUGUGUUCGAGUUACCUUGGAAGUCAGAAGUCCGAGCUGGGAAUGAUGUCACACCCGAGUUACCAGCCAGGUCGGAAGAAAGCAAAAUCAGAGGCGGAAACAAGAUGGCUACAUCUACACAAGUUAUUUUAGCCCUUGCCUGAAUAUAAGCAAGGACAAGAUAAGCGCUUAAAUAACUUUCGUAGAUGUAGCCAUCUUGUUUCCGCCUCUGAUUUUGCUUUUUUCCGACUCGGUAACUGAAACACUGGUAACUUGGAUGUGACAUCAUUCCCAGCUCUGACAUCUGACUUCGGAGGUAACUCGAACGCAGCAUUAGUGUUGAAGUCAAAGUGACAGGAAGAUGACAUCUACACUGUGUGAAUCAUAUGAGAUGAGAUCUUGGCAUUUUUGCCAUUUAAUGAUCAACAAACUACUGCACAAAUGUUUUGAAUGCUUAGUCUUAAAUGCUGUGUCCUUUUAGCUCUUGGGACCUUGCAGUUUAUUGGGUUGAGAGUUUUAUAACACCAGUUGCUUGAAGCCAACCAUGUAUGCGUGUGUGUGUGUGUGUGUGUGUGUGUGUGUGUGUGUGUGUGUGUGUGUGUGUGUGUGUGUGUGUGUGUGUGUGUGUGUGUGUGUGUGUGUGUGUGUGUGUGUGCGAAACUUGACCUUGCCUCUGUAGUGAAGAACAGCAGCACAGGUGUGUAACAUGAUAGAUGUGAUCCCCUUACUAGAACGCCCACAGAUUAGCCGAGCCUUUUGGACAGCCGGAUUUCUGUUGUAAUGACUGAGGAGAUGGAUGGACCAGUUUAGUCAUUCGUCAUGUCAAAGAAUAAAAUACAACGCCAUGAAGUUGUCAAAGAAUCUCAGGCUGGGUGAUAAAAAGUUGGUAAAAGGUAACAGAAGCUCAACCAUAUCAAAGUGGUAGAUGUAUCAUCUUCCAACUGUGUGAUUUUCUUGUUCUUUUUUCUUGUUUUCUUUGUAGAUUAAAGGAGCGGUGUGAAUGGCUUUGAGAGGUAUUUAUCUCUCUCCUCACUCCUCAACCUUUGAACUAUGUCAGUGAACCUGAAGUGGCCAUGAAAUGUGGACAAAAGGCUCCAUACAGACUACUUUACAAGAAAGCAAUUUGAGUUUUUUUUACGGCCUGUGAAAACACCGAUCAUGUGUGUCUGUUGGGAGGUGGGGGGUUGAUGUACAGUGAGCUGGUAGGUGUGCUGUUUAGAGUAGACCUGGGUGGUGAAGUGAAGCGGUCCCAGAGCCUUUGUACAGGACAAAUAACGCCUCAUUUCCACUUGUGUGUAUGGUGUGUAUAAAGGCAUGAACUAAGGGUCAAGUUAAAAUAUGAGCCUGCUUAUUAAUUAUGAUUCAUAUUCAAGUAAACAUUUCCAUUGCAAAGUGAUUUAAUAAGGUGAACAGGAUUUCUGCAGGAGUAAUUAUGUUGGCAUUGCUGUUCUCAUUCCGGUUAUUCUACUUUGAAGCGAACUUGGGCUGACUGCUUGAGGCAUAAGCUCAGUGUAUGUGGUACGCACUCAGACUGCAGGGCCAGCGGCGCCCCUGGAGUAGACGCUUCUGAAGAACUUUUAAAAUAUUUGUUGUUUUCACACCCACUCUUUGCAUUGAAUAGCAACUCAAGGAUACAUUUGUGAUUCUGCUGCCAUUGCCUGGAUUGUAGGAUAGGAUGUUUCUCCCUUGUUCCUGUUGAGCGAUGAUCUGGAUCCUCCUCAGGCUGCCUUUACAUCCGUGUCCACCAACUCUUAUUUUCCCAUCCUAAACACUAGCCAGAGUGAAGAGAAGGGAAGCUGUGGUCCUUGAGUCAUUCUCGCCUCAAAAGCCCAGCUGCCUGGCUGAUUUAAGUAGGGUGGCCAUAUUCUGAAUCACCAAGACGAGGAGUCACAGAGUCCAUGCAUAGUUAAUUUUGAAAGUUUUCCGGGUCAGAUUAAGUGUUCUUUACACGCUUCCAACUCAGUAAGUCCAUGGGUCACGAUCUCAAAACUUCCAUACAAAACCCCGGACAUUUGAAGGAUUUUAUAAACUUCCCCGGACAAAGUUGGACAAGGCCAGACAGCCCCCCAAAAAGUGGGUAAAAGAGGACGUAUGGUCACCCUAAUUUAGGGAACCAACAAACCACUAAUGUUUUUGUCUUAAACAGAAACAAAUGCUCACAGAACCAAAUGUUUUACCAUAGUGUCAACAGGCAGAGGGGAACUGCGCCUCUCUUCUGUGGAUUGAUUUGAUAUAACCAGUGUGAUCCGGUUGCGUCACAAAUUGUGAGUGAAAAUUUGUGUUACAAACAACUUUUUGCCUCUGUUGUGGUGAUCACAGUAAACACUUCCAGUAAAAUCAAUGAAAGGCAAGUCAAUGGUGGAGCGACAUGGAAACUUAACUAAUAAACACAACUGACUUACUCACAUGUUAUCACACAUUUCUAAUGAUGUUGAAAGUUAUAUUCUAUCAGUGUGACAAAAAAACAGCAACUACUCUUAAUUAGACUCAAAACCCAAAUUUUAAGAAAAGCCUACUCUGUAAUCACUUUGUUCCAUUUUAUACCGUGUUUGCUUUUAUCUGGUUGUUUUAUCGAACUGUUUUUAUCUGUAAAGUGAUCUUAAAUGUUGAGAUAGGGGCUUAUAAACAAAAUAUAUUAUGAUUAUACCAAGGAUUCUACUAUGAUAACAUCAUCCCAACCCUUAUUGUCAGUUAACGGUACAACAAAAAAACACACUUUUCUGUCCAUGAUUCUGUCUGUAAAGCCCAUGGUCCUGAUUAUGCAAAUUAAAUGACCUGUAAAAGAUGCUGCAUGCCCAUUUUUAUGAUAAAAAGAUUCAGUAUCGCUUUUAGCUGAGUGUAGUUAGGACAUUGUGGACCAAUCGAAGUGUUAGGACUGUGAGUACAGGGAGAAAUAACCAGCCUGACUCUGUCCACCUAUAAAAAUGAUAUACCACAGCACACCUCUGAAUUAUUCAGAUGCUGUUUACAGUUUGUUUCAUCCAUUAUCAGCAUAUUGAUAUGUACUUGUUUUUUGGAGUAGCUGACUUUGUGGCUAAAACCAGCUGAGAAUAAUAACAGCGAGCAGCUUCCAAGAAAAAAAAAGAGAUUUUCAGGGUUGGCAACCUUGACGUAAAAGAAUCAGUCUUACCACCUUCAAUGGCACAGUUAAACCUAAGUGAAUCAUAAAAGUUUAUCAAUGUAAGCUGUGGUGAUGACUGUAAGUACUUACAUCAGAUGGUGUUGAGGCAGUCCAUGAGCCAGAGAAGGUCCUUCAUUGCUUGGUACAAUUAUGUUUUUGAUAAAACCCCUAAAAGAUUUCAGGUAAUCUCAAAAGCUAAAUCAAAAAGAGGAUAAUUCUUAUUAUGCUUCACAAAAGCUUUUUUGUCUUUAGAGCCGCAUUUAGAAAUUUGCCACAGUGAUUAUUUUAUGUGCAAAAUGAAGUUUGGAGUAAAAUACUGAUUUUGCUAUAUUUUGCCUCAUAACUUUAAAAGCAAACUUGUGUAUAAAUUACUUUCCAGAAGUCUGAGUUCUGUCCUUGGAGGUUCCGGUACAAACGCUUAAAUCUGGAUAAGUGUUUUUGUCUUAUUUCUGAGCAAAAGCUUUUUUGUUAGACUAAAUAAAGGAUAUAUUCAACUAACCGGGUCUGUGGUGGCCUCAACCACCAUAAUAAAUUUGUUUCAGUUUAGAAGAAUCACAUUACACACUUUUGUGGUUGAAAUAAAUUUGCUUUCAUUGCAUUUAUGGUAGUUGUUUUCUAACUUGUGUGCACACAAUUCAAUUAACAAAUUGUCACAUGGUUUGAUUUGAGUUUAUGUCAUUUCAAAGUAAUUCUUACCGUUUUGUUCGUCUUUGCUCGAGCUCACCUGACGAAAGGCUGACUGCAGCUCCAAAAUGGCCUCUUAAGCCCUACCAACAGGAAGUGGGACAGACCAUCAAGGAGGAAGCAAGGAGAAGCUCAGACUCUUGAUUCUUAUAGAACUUUUGUCUUUAUUCUUUCAUUUAGACUACAGUAUUUUUUUUUUGAUGGUGUUUUUCUGAGUUUGUUAGAUGUUUAGUUUGUAGUCUCCUUAGUUUCCCCCUUGUGUUUGUGUUGGAUUAGUCCUUUCUCUAUUUAAACCCCUGACACGUAUCACUCAGCAGGUCUGUUUGAUUAUGUUUGUCAGGUUGUAACUUUCUUUUUUUUUUUUACUGGGUUAACUCGUUUUAGUGUGGUCUCAGAUUUUGUUGAUUUUCUACCACAUUAAGUUGAAAAUUUUGUUAUUGAUUUCUCUUUUUUUUUGUGAGUAGAAUUAACGGAUCAAGAUCUUUUUCCUCACCUUUGUCCUUUGCCUGGUUGCUUGGUCCCUUACAAAGUCAAACACUUUAGAAAUAUUACAAGCUGAAAAAAAAUAGGGAUAAUUUCUUGUAUUGAGUAAAACAAAAAGCAACAAGAGCAAAUUAGAUCAGAAAAACUUAGUCAAAUUUUAUUAAAAAAAACAAAACAGACAAAUUUGACAUGUUAUCUUUUUACCAUGAUGCAGUUAUUAGUCUUGUUUUGCAACGAUAAAUAAGAGAUUGGAUCUCCUUUUUUGUAAGAGUCAUCUGAUUUCAUGAAAAGUGGCUCUGUCUACACUGUAAUGAUGUUGCCAAUUUGCACUUAGAUCAUGUCGGUAAGAUGUUAUAUUACCUUUGAGAGUGUAAUUACACUUGUCAGAUAUUUCAGAGUCUUUGUAGAAGCUGUGAAUGCCUGAGCUGUGUGGCGUGCAGAAUUAAUCACUAAAGAAUGAACACAUAGUGCUACUCUGCAAAGACACUAGGGACAUCUGUCAUUCAGAUGAGGAUGAAUGUAGGUCACCGUUUCUAGUGUCUUUGCUUAGCAGGGGCCUGAUUAAAGCAGCAACCUAUGGCCUAAGAUCUCUGCCCAGCCAUCUCUGCCAAGUUACACAACAUUUGACUUUUUUUUUUUUUUUUUCAGCUCUGAAGGCUGCGUGAUCCUAUAUCCCCCUGUCACCCUGAAUCCUUGCGCCGCGCCUCCUCAUCUACCACUUAAAAAAGCAGAGAUUGGAUUACCCAACUGUCAAUCAAUCAUCGGGGUGAUGAUACAAGCCCACCAUGAAACAUCCCAAACAGAUGGCCAGCCACUACCACACGCUUGCACCCCCACCCGGCCCUAACCCGGACCUAGUCCCUUGGUAAGAGACUGUAAGCUUCUUAGAUUUUUUUUCAUGCUUCUCACUAAUUUAGGUCUUUUCAUCAAAGCGAUCGUUGUGAUAUUAUUUGUACCUACAAUAACACUCAUGAUGCCUCCCUGUGCUCCCAAGUCAACACCUCUCAUUCUCUCAAUUUACAACAUUUAAUACUUCUGCAACAGAUGAGAAAUGUGCGAAAAUGUCUUAAUGAGUUCAUUAAUCCGUGGGUGUGCUUAAGACAAUAGCAUGCCAGGGGGCUGAGCGAUGGGUGUAUUUUAGGGCAGGGCAGCGACCCCCGACACCCAGGCCGGCAGGCAGCGGAGGAGGAGGCUGAGCCAGAGCAGGUGUCUCUGCUGACAUCUGCUUCAGUUCACUGGGGAAACACAAGCACCCUGCAGCUACAGCACUGACAAUGCCACUGAAGUGCCCAGGCUCCGUCUAAACAAGGUAGACUUUUUUCCACUUCUUCUUACAGCGCUGGGAUCAGCACUUUAGAAGCUGAUCCCUCAUUUGUACCGUUUUUAAAGGAUUUCUAUUUGAGGUUUUUCAGACAUUUAACAGUGUUUGCCCUUUUUCUGAUGGAGAUAUUUUACCGCAUUUGAUAUUUUGAUACCGCAUAUUUCAUACUUGGUUGUUCACUCAUUGGUCUGUCUUGCUUUUGACACUUUUCUGCGUUCCAUGUUUUUUUGCAAUGUGGCGGCUUAAUCCAUGAAAAAAAAAAGAGGCAUUUUUUAUGUCACAUAUUAAGAGGAUUCGACCCAGAUCUCUUACAAACAUUAAAGGAAGAAGUCUUUGGAUGUUCAGUCUCAUGCAAUAUUGAUGCUGUCAUGUUUACUCAUCAACCCACUUUCCUCUGAAUCCAAUCAGGCUGACAAGACAAACCCACAAGGCUGUUGAUUCAGAGGCGCUAUCGAUCCAAGUUUGCGUUCCACUGACCUGAGUGCAUUUUUAAAGACUUUGUUGUGUAAUCAAAGGCUCUGUGGAUCCCCUCUCUCCUCCCUGACCUGUGCUUAGCAGAUAUAGCAGAUGUCGCCUAUAUUUUGUUCUCGCAGCUUCUAUAUACAGCACUGACAGGCUUUUUCAUUAAAUUGGAUGUUUGCACUAAUCGGACAUUGAUUCUGCUGUGAGCUUCUCAAACAAUAUCUUAUUAUAGGAUAAAAUAUGAC